Molecule: ribosomal RNA, 1338 nt
Filed under: uncultured bacterium
Lineage: Bacteria
Description: bacterial SSU rRNA
Rfam family: Bacterial small subunit ribosomal RNA
Source: RNAcentral
GACGAACGCUGGCGGCGCGCCUAACACAUGCAAGUCGAACGAGAGAUGAGGAGCUUGCUCUUCAAAUCGAGUGGCGAACGGGUGAGUAACGCGUGAGGAACCUGCCUCAAAGAGGGGGACAACAGUUGGAAACGACUGCUAAUACCGCAUAAGCCCACGGCUCGGCAUCGAGCAGAGGGAAAAGGAGCAAUCCGCUUUGAGAUGGCCUCGCGUCCGAUUAGCUAGUUGGUGAGGUAACGGCCCACCAAGGCGACGAUCGGUAGCCGGACUGAGAGGUUGAACGGCCACAUUGGGACUGAGACACGGCCCAGACUCCUACGGGAGGCAGCAGUGGGGAAUACUGCACAAUGGGGGAAACCCUGAUGCAGCGACGCCGCGUGGAGGAAGAAGGUCUUCGGAUUGUAAACUCCUGUUGUUGAGGAAGAUAAUGACGGUACUCAACAAGGAAGUGACGGCUAACUACGUGCCAGCAGCCGCGGUAAAACGUAGGUCACAAGCGUUGUCCGGAAUUACUGGGUGUAAAGGGAGCGCAGGCGGGAGAACAAGUUGGAAGUGAAAUCCAUGGGCUCAACCCAUGAACUGCUUUCAAAACUGUUUUUCUUGAGUAGUGCAGAGGUAGGCGGAAUUCCCGGUGUAGCGGUGGAAUGCGUAGAUAUCGGGAGGAACACCAGUGGCGAAGGCGGCCUACUGGGCACCAACUGACGCUGAGGCUCGAAAGUGUGGGUAGCAAACAGGAUUAGAUACCCUGGUAGUCCACACCGUAAACGAUGAUUACUAGGUGUUGGAGGAUUGACCCCUUCAGUGCCGCAGUUAACACAAUAAGUAAUCCACCUGGGGAGUACGACCGCAAGGUUGAAACUCAAAGGAAUUGACGGGGGCCCGCACAAGCAGUGGAGUAUGUGGUUUAAUUCGACGCAACGCGAAGAACCUUACCAAGUCUUGACAUCCUGCGACGCACAUAGAAAUAUGUGUUUCCUUCGGGACGCAGAGACAGGUGGUGCAUGGUUGUCGUCAGCUCGUGUCGUGAGAUGUUGGGUUAAGUCCCGCAACGAGCGCAACCCUUAUGGUCAGUUACUACGCAAGAGGACUCUGGCCAGACUGCCGUUGACAAAACGGAGGAAGGUGGGGAUGACGUCAAAUCAUCAUGCCCUUUAUGACUUGGGCUACACACGUACUACAAUGGCGUUAAACAAAGAGAAGCAAGACCGCGAGGUGGAGCAAAACUCAGAAACAACGUCCUAGUUCGGACUGCAGGCUGCAACUCGCCUGCACGAAGUCGGAAUUGCUAGUAAUCGUGGAUCAGCAUGCCACGGUGAAUACGUUCCCGGGCCUUGUACU